AUUGAACGCUGGCGGCAGGCUUAACACAUGCAAGUCGAGCGAGCGGCGGACGGGUGAGUAAUGUCUGGGAAACUGCCUGAUGGCGGGGGAUAACUACUGGAAACGGUCGCUAAUACCGCAUACCAUCAGAUGUGCCCAGAUGGGAUUAGCUAGUAGGUGGGGUAAUGGCUCACCUAGGCUACGAUCCCUAGCUGGUCUGAGAGGAUGACCAGCCACACUGAAACUGAGACACGGUCCAGACUCCUACGGUCGGCAGCAGUGGGGAAUUUUGCACAAUGGGCGAAAGCCUGAUGCAGCCAUGCCGCGUGUAUGAAGAAGGCCUUCGGGUUGUAAAGCACUUUCAGCGAGGAGGCGUUACUCGCAGAAGAAGCACCGGCUAACUCCGUGCCAGCAGCCGCGGUAAUUC
This 406-nucleotide ribosomal RNA is filed under the name uncultured bacterium. RNAcentral's name for it is "partial 16S ribosomal RNA". It matches the Rfam family "Bacterial small subunit ribosomal RNA", at positions 30 to 526 of the family's 1533-position model. The record is from RNAcentral.